AGAGUUUGAUCCUGGCUCAGGAUGAACGCUGGCGGCGUGCCUAAUACAUGCAAGUCGAGCGAAUGGAUUAAGAGCUUGCUCUUAUGAAGUUAGCGGCGGACGGGUGAGUAACACGUGGGUAACCUGCCCAUAAGACUGGGAUAACUCCGGGAAACCGGGGCUAAUACCGGAUAACAUUUUGAACUGCAUGGUUCGAAAUUGAAAGGCGGCUUCGGCUGUCACUUAUGGAUGGACCCGCGUCGCAUUAGCUAGUUGGUGAGGUAACGGCUCACCAAGGCAACGAUGCGUAGCCGACCUGAGAGGGUGAUCGGCCACACUGGGACUGAGACACGGCCCAGACUCCUACGGGAGGCAGCAGUAGGGAAUCUUCCGCAAUGGACGAAAGUCUGACGGAGCAACGCCGCGUGAGUGAUGAAGGUUUUCGGAUCGUAAAGCUCUGUUGUUAGGGAAGAACAAGUACCGUUCGAAUADGGCGGUACCUUGACGGUACCUAACCAGAAAGCCACGGCUAACUACGUGCCAGCAGCCGCGGUAAUACGUAGGUGGCAAGCGUUGUCCGGAAUUAUUGGGCGUAAAGGGCUCGCAGGCGGUUUCUUAAGUCUGAUGUGAAAGCCCCCGGCUCAACCGGGGAGGGUCAUUGGAAACUGGGGAACUUGAGUGCAGAAGAGGAGAGUGGAAUUCCACGUGUAGCGGUGAAAUGCGUAGAGAUGUGGAGGAACACCAGUGGCGAAGGCGACUCUCUGGUCUGUAACUGACGCUGAGGAGCGAAAGCGUGGGGAGCGAACAGGAUUAGAUACCCUGGUAGUCCACGCCGUAAACGAUGAGUGCUAAGUGUUAGGGGGUUUCCGCCCBUUAUUGCUGCAGUUAACACAUUAAGCACUCCGCCCGGGGA
Molecule: ribosomal RNA, 892 nt
Filed under: Bacillus altitudinis
Lineage: Bacteria; Bacillati; Bacillota; Bacilli; Caryophanales; Bacillaceae
Description: bacterial SSU rRNA
Rfam family: Bacterial small subunit ribosomal RNA
Source: RNAcentral